UCCGGUUCUUCACCAGCAGUCUCCUUAGAGUCCCCACCAUAACGUGCUGGUAACUAGGGAUAAGGGUUGCGCUCGUUAAGGGACUUAACCCGACAUCUCACGAUACGAGCUGACGACAGCCAUGCAGCACCUGUCUCACUGCCCCCGAAGGGGAAACCGUAUCUCUACGGCUGUCAGUGGAUGUCAAACCCAGGUAAGGUUCUUCGCGUUGCAUCGAAUUAAACCACAUGCUCCACCGCUUGUGCGGGCCCCCGUCAAUUCCUUUGAGUUUUAACCUUGCGGCCGUACUUCCCAGGCGGGGUACUUAAUGCGUUAGCGUCGGCACUGCAGGGGUCAAUUCCUGCAACACCUAGUACCCAUCGUUUACAGCGUGGACUAC
This 379-nucleotide unclassified non-coding RNA is filed under the name uncultured Oligoflexales bacterium. Its description in RNAcentral is "contains 16S-23S intergenic spacer region". Lineage: Bacteria; Pseudomonadati; Bdellovibrionota; Oligoflexia; Oligoflexales. The record is from RNAcentral.